Molecule: long non-coding RNA, 1293 nt
Organism: Hydra vulgaris (swiftwater hydra)
Lineage: Eukaryota; Metazoa; Cnidaria; Hydrozoa; Anthoathecata; Hydridae
Source: RefSeq, a predicted model, not a curated record
AACCAGGAAGUUCACGCCUCCUUCUUUACCAUGACGCGAAAUAUGUCCAAAGCUCGUUUUGAACCUGGAUCUCCUGCUUAUAAAGCAUACGAUCUAACCACUGCGCCACGGCCGCACAAUAUUUGGCAUAACUUUUUUGUGAAUCAAGAAGCUCGUUUUGAUCAGUUUAGAAAAUUAAAAGGUUUAAAGAAAGAUAAGCGCUAGAAAAAGAAUGAGCUAAAACAAAGUGAAGUUACAUUAUAUUUUUAAAUAUAUUAUUUGAGGUUGAGAGUUUAAGUUCACUUAUUUUAGUUUAAAAGACAUCUUUGUCAGACACUUGUCUCAGAAAGCCAUAGCUAUUUAAAGGCGUCUAAAUUUUAUUACGCCUAAUACAGGUCUUUAAACGUCUUUAAAAAACGCUGAGAAGAGAAAUGUUUUUUUUUUAGUAUUGUUACUCUGUAGAAGUUAUUGAUAUAGCUGUUACUUCAAUGAAGUUUUCAUUCUAUUUAUAAAAUAUUUUAUUUUUUCUUCAAACCUAAUAUUUGUAUAACUUUCUACAGGUAAUACUAAUAUGAAAACAACUUUUAUUGUUUUUUGAUUUAUACUCGGGUAAAAUAUUCGUUUUCUUAUUUUAAUUUAUUGUUAAAACAUAUAUUUUUCCAUUAUUUUAUUUUAUGGUUAUUUUUAAGAGAAGGCAAAGACACCAACAAAAAGCCUGAAAGUUAAUGAUAGUGAAGAGGAGGCAGAUAAUUAUAAAAAUCUUUGCAGCUAAAGACAGUGAAGAAUCGAGUCGAAGUACUGUAGCCAGCUGGGCUACGCUCACUGGAUGAAUUGCAAAUUAAAACUGAUUUAAUAAAAAGACGGCAUAAGAUAUGGCAUUUCAGAAAAGUUUGAAAUAUUAACAUUACCACGUGCCAUACAAGCUGAAGUUUGCUGAAAGUUAUACAAAUGGAGAAGUAUUGGUGCGUUUCUUUCCACAUGUAGAAUUUAAUGCAUAUAGAAAGAGAGAUAAAGGAGGUUUGUGAGAUUAUUUAGAGAACUGAAAAUGUUUAUACUACUUCAAUGUUAAAUGAUAUCUCAAAAAAAGACAAAAAAAAAAAGAUGAAAAAUUAAAUCAAUAGGUCAGAAAAUUUGGCAGAAUAGUUUGUGUCGCAUUUGUGGAAGCGAAAUUGGUCAAAAAACUAGAAAAAAUCAAAAAAAAGUUAAAUGGAUCAAAUGUGAUAUUUGCAUCCUAAUCGAUGGUACCGUAUAAGAUGCAUUGUUUUUAAAAAUGAAACUUUAUUUUGUUGUGAACAUAUUUAUAUAUAAAUGUAA